CCCCAGACUCCUACGGGAGGCAGCAGUGAGGAAUAUUGGUCAAUGGGCUUACGCCUGAACCAGCCAAGUCGCGUGAGGGAAGACUGCCCUAUGGGUUGUAAACCUCUUUUGUCAGGGAGCAACGCCGGCUACGUGUAGCCGGACUGAGAGUACCUGAAGAAAAAGCAUCGGCUAACUACGUGCCAGCAGCCGCGGUAAUACGUAGGGGGCAAGCGUUAUCCGGAUUUACUGGGUGUAAAGGGAGCGUAGGCGGCUGUGUAAGCCAGAAGUGAAAGCCCGAGGCUCAACCACGGGACUGCUUUUGGAACUACAUGGCUCGAUUGCAGGAGAGGCAAGUGGAAUUCCUAGUGUAGCGGUGAAAUGCGUAGAUAUUAGGAGGAACACCAGUGGCGAAGGCGGCUUGCUGGACUGUAAAUGACGCUGAGGCUCGAAAGCGUGGGGAGCAAACAGGAUUAGAUACCCUAGUAC
This 468-nucleotide ribosomal RNA is filed under the name uncultured bacterium. RNAcentral describes it as "bacterial SSU rRNA". It matches the Rfam family "Bacterial small subunit ribosomal RNA", at positions 329 to 793 of the family's 1533-position model. The record is from RNAcentral.